AGCUGGCUGACAAGUUCCAAAUAGGACAAAAUGCGCAUCCUGGAU
Molecule: non-coding RNA, 45 nt
Filed under: Trichobilharzia regenti
Lineage: Eukaryota; Metazoa; Platyhelminthes; Trematoda; Strigeidida; Schistosomatidae
Source: RNAcentral